This 390-nucleotide unclassified non-coding RNA is filed under the name soil metagenome. Its description in RNAcentral is "partial contains 5.8S ribosomal RNA, internal transcribed spacer 2, and large subunit ribosomal RNA". The stretch from base 1 to 122 matches the Rfam family "5.8S ribosomal RNA", at positions 35 to 154 of the family's 154-position model. The record is from RNAcentral.
GAUGAAGAACGCAGCGAAAUGCGAUACUUGGUGUGAAUUGCAGAAUCCCGUGAACCAUCGAGUCUUUGAACGCAAGUUGCGCCCGAAGCCAUUAGGCCGAGGGCACGCCUGCCUGGGCGUCACACGUCGUUGCCCCCCCAUCUACUCCUUCGGGAUUGCGGGGGGCGGAUGAUGGCCUCCCGUGCGCCUCGUCGCGCGGUUGGCAUAAAUGCCAAGUCCUCGGCGACGCACGCCACGACAAUCGGUGGUUGCGAAACCUCGGUUGCCCGUCGUGUGCGGUCGUCGCGCAUCGAGGGCUCGAAAAAAUUGCCGGGCUCCGGCUCGGCUUUCAACGCGACCCCAGGUCAGGCGGGGUUACCCGCUGAAUUUAAGCAUAUCAAUAAGGGAGGA